ACUGCAAUAUAAGCGCCAGAGCUUGCGUGAUGAUUCGUUUUGAUGCUCUACGUAACCGAUGAAUGGGCUGCAUGUUGGAUGUGCGGAUACAGUGGUUAUGGAGAAGCACUCGGGGCGAUCAUACGGGAAGCUGACGAGGUGGAGGUGUUCGAAAUGUUCGGCGGGGGCCUCCCGGUUAUAGCAUGCCAACCGAAAGCUGAGACGCAAAAUGAUUGGGCGACCAUUCAUACAAACGUUCAGCAGGCAUCAAC
This 251-nucleotide non-coding RNA is filed under the name Paenibacillus sp. RNAcentral describes it as "GlcN6P sequence". It matches the Rfam family "glmS glucosamine-6-phosphate activated ribozyme aptamer". From Rfam's summary of the family: This entry contains a glucosamine-6-phosphate activated ribozyme that is found in the mRNA for GlmS. GlmS is an enzyme that uses fructose-6-phosphate and glutamine to generate glucosamine-6-phosphate. The ribozyme catalyses self cleavage of the glmS mRNA that is thought to regulate GlmS activity. Lineage: Bacteria; Bacillati; Bacillota; Bacilli; Caryophanales; Paenibacillaceae. The record is from RNAcentral. RNAcentral also lists the same sequence under 1 other name.